CAGUCGCCGCGGUAAUACGAAGGGUGCAAGCGUUAAUCGGAAUUACUGGGCGUAAAGCGUGCGUAGGCGGUUUGUUAAGUCUGUUGUGAAAUCCCCGGGCUCAACCUGGGAAUUGCAGUGGGUACUGGGUCACUAGAGUGUGGUAGAGGAUAGUGGAAUUUCCGGUGUAGCAGUGAAAUGCGUAGAGAUCGGAAGGAACAUCUGUGGCGAAGGCGACUAUCUGGGCCAACACUGACACUGAGGCACGAAAGCGUGGGGAGCAAACAGGAUUAGAUACCCCGGUAGUCCCUGUCUCUUAUAC
Molecule: ribosomal RNA, 301 nt
Filed under: uncultured bacterium
Lineage: Bacteria
Description: partial 16S ribosomal RNA
Rfam family: Bacterial small subunit ribosomal RNA
Source: RNAcentral